GACGAACGCUGGCGGCGUGCUUAACACAUGCAAGUCGAACGGAAAGGCCCUGCUUUUGUGGGGUGCUCGAGUGGCGAACGGGUGAGUAACACGUGAGUAAACUGCACUUGACUUUGGGAUAACUUCAGGAAAAUGGGGCUAAUACAGGAUAGGAGCUCCUGAUGCAUGGUGGGGGUUGGAAAGUUUCGGCGGUUGGGGCUGGACUCGCAGCUUAUCAGCUUGUUGGUGGGGUAGUGGCUUACCAAGGCUUUGACGGGUAGCCGGCAUGGGAGGUGGACCGGCCACAAGGGUACUGAGAUACGGCCCAGACGCCUACGGGAGGCAACAGUGGAGAAUAUUACACAAUGAGCGGGAGCCUGAUGUAGCAACGCCGCGUGCGUAAUGACGUCCUUCGGGUUGUAAACCGCUGUCGCCUGUGACAAAGCGUGAGUGACGGUAAUGGGUAAGGAAGCACCGGCUAACUACGUG
RNAcentral lists this ribosomal RNA (468 nucleotides) under uncultured bacterium. RNAcentral describes it as "partial 16S ribosomal RNA". It matches the Rfam family "Bacterial small subunit ribosomal RNA", at positions 28 to 507 of the family's 1533-position model. The record is from RNAcentral.